Molecule: ribosomal RNA, 380 nt
Filed under: uncultured eukaryote
Lineage: Eukaryota
Description: partial 18S ribosomal RNA
Rfam family: Eukaryotic small subunit ribosomal RNA
Source: RNAcentral
CAAUAGCGUUUAUUAAAGUUGUUGCAGUUAAAAAGCUCGUAGUUGGAUUUGUGGCGUACGGUGUGUUCCGGGCACUUGUUGUCUGAGUAACCUGCUGUUGCCAUCCUUGGGUGGAACCUGUGUGGCAUUAGGUUGUCGUGCAGGGGAUGCCCAUCAUUUACUGUGAAAAAAUUAGAGUGUUCAAAGCAGGCUUAUGCCGUUGAAUAUAUUAGCAUGGAAUAAUGAGAUAGGACUUUUUUGCUAUUUUGUUGGUUUGCGCAAAGAGGUAAUGAUUAAUAGGGACAGUUGGGGGUAUUCGUAUUCCAUUGUCAGAGGUGAAAUUCUUGGAUUUUUGGAAGACGAACUACUGCGAAAGCAUUUACCAAGGAUGUUUUCAUUAA